GGUCGUUCAGAAAGAGAUACUGAAAAUACAAUAUUCGGUACCAAUCAGUGAUUCGACAAUCCCUAAAGACUACCAGCAAAAGUUCCGGUAGAAAUUCGAUUAUCCGACCUACCGAGUACUUCUUCUUCGUCUUCUUGUUGAAGUGUUGUGUUGAGGUAACAAACCCACAAUUUUAGUUAUAAUUUAUUUUUUAAGUAAAAUAAAUAAGAAGAGGGAGCCAAUUAUCUGAAGAUGUCGUGCCGACAUGGAAAAUUGAAUAGCUAUACAUACAUAACGCUGAAAAAGUUCAUAUUAGUUGCAUAGUAAUGGGUUUGGUUUAAUGUUUAUGAGUUUGUAGGGAAAACUACAAUACUGAAGAUACUUCGUGGGAAGCAUAUGGUGGAGCCGGAUAUGGUGAAGGUGCUAGGAAAAUCUACAUUUCAUGACACCGCAUUGACGAUUUCCCGUUUCCUUUCUGGCGACCUCUGUCAUCUUGGAUUAGACUAUUUCGUGAAAUUAUCUUUUGGUUUUAGUUUUGAUUUUGGAAAUUUUAUGUAGAUUUUAUGCAUACUCGUUGAGUGAUCUUUAUAUGAUUGCAAAAUAGAAGGCAAUUUUUACUUUUGGGAAGUUUCCUUUAAGUUGCCACUAAUUGGAAUGGUAAUUUUUUACAUUUUAGAAGGAAAGUAGAAUGAGAUGGUAACACUACCCGUUCGUAAUUGAUUUUGAGUUCUGGGAAAUUAUAUUUGCAGCUAUCUGAAAUUCUGUUCAUGAUUUUGAGUUCCUAAUUAAUUUUAGUACAAUAUGAUGCGAA
This 790-nucleotide long non-coding RNA is filed under the name Olea europaea subsp. europaea. The record is from RNAcentral. Lineage: Eukaryota; Viridiplantae; Streptophyta; Magnoliopsida; Lamiales; Oleaceae.